GCCUCCGUAGCUCAGUGGAUAGAGCAACCGCCUUCUAAGCGGUUGGUCGCAGGUUCGAUCCCUGCCGGGGGCGCCA
This 76-nucleotide transfer RNA is filed under the name Mycolicibacterium hodleri. RNAcentral's name for it is "Mycobacterium hodleri tRNA-Arg". It matches the Rfam family "tRNA". Rfam says of the family: Transfer RNA (tRNA) molecules are approximately 80 nucleotides in length. Their secondary structure includes four short double-helical elements and three loops (D, anti-codon, and T loops). The record is from RNAcentral. Lineage: Bacteria; Bacillati; Actinomycetota; Actinomycetes; Mycobacteriales; Mycobacteriaceae. RNAcentral also lists the same sequence under 2 other names.